Molecule: small RNA, 509 nt
Filed under: uncultured Glomus
Lineage: Eukaryota; Fungi; Glomeromycota; Glomeromycetes; Glomerales; Glomeraceae
Description: SSU rRNA
Rfam family: Eukaryotic small subunit ribosomal RNA
Source: RNAcentral
AGCAGCCGCGGUAAUUCCAGCUCCAAUAGCGUAUAUUAAAGUUGUUGCAGUUAAAUAGCUCGUAGUUGAAUUUCGGGGUCAGCAGGUUGGUCGUGCCUACGGUAUGAACUGGCCUUGCUGAUUCCUCCUUCUUGAUGAGCCGUAAUGCCAUUAAUUUGGUGUUGCGGGGAAUCAGGACUGUUACUUUGAAAAAAUUAGAGUGUUUAAAGCAGGCAAGCGCUUGAAUACAUUAGCAUGGAAUAAUGAAAUAGGACGUUCGAUCCUAUUUUGUUGGUUUCUAGGAUUGACGUAAUGAUUAAUAGGGAUAGUUGGGGGCAUUAGUAUUCAAUUGUCAGAGGUGAAAUUCUUGGAUUUAUUGAAGACUAACUACUGCGAAAGCAUUUGCCAAGGAUGUUUUCAUUAAUCAAGAACGAAAGUUAGGGGAUCGAAGACGAUCAGAUACCGUCGUAGUCUUAACCAUAAACUAUGCCGACUAGGGAUCGGAUGAUGUUAAUUUUUUAAUGACUCAU